CAGUGCCGUAAGCCAAUGAAGCAGGAAACAGAGAGGAAGAAGCAGAACAAGAUGAAGACCAGGAUUUUCAAACAAGAAGAGACGAUCAGAAUGGUUGUUAAGGCUUCUCUCAUACUGGUUCUCCUUGUAAUCUUUUCCUGCACUCUAGUAGCGAUUGCUGGAAUUCACAACCACAACAAUCAAACUCCUAAUGGCUCCACUCUCGCUGGCAUGGAAGUGCCAGAGCAUAUGAGCUUCAAUGCUGUCUCCUCCUCAUCCCACACUGGAUGCAGCCUCAGCAGCUCAAAGAAAACCAAGCAAUCAGAUUCAACCAUGGAAAAAGCAGUGUCCGAUAAUGAAGAAUCUGACGAAGACGAGGAUGAAGUAGCUGAUGAUUCUGUGACAAAAAUGAGAACCCAUAAACAAUCUGUGAAGCUCCACCUGAGGCACAGGUCACAGAACAGAGAAUCCGAGCGUAAGAGUUCUGUGAUUGAGUCCACAGUCAGAGACUUGGUCAGAAUUCAGACCCUCCACACAAGGAUUGUUGAGAAAAAGAAUCAAAAUACCAUUUCAAGGCUACAGAAAGACAAGAAGGUCCACGAAUUCAAGCCAGUUGUUGCUCCGGCAGCCUCGCCGGAGUCUUAUACAAGCGAGCUUUCCGGUCAGCUUCAGGCGACUUUGAAGUCCGGGGUCAGUCUCGGUUCUGGAGAGUACUUCAUGGAUGUUUUUAUUGGUACACCUCCUAAACACUUCUCUUUGAUACUUGAUACUGGUAGUGAUCUUAAUUGGGUUCAAUGUGCACCUUGCUAUGCUUGUUUUGAGCAAGAUGGACCACAUUAUGAUCCUAAAGAUUCCACCUCUUUCCGAGACAUAAGCUGCCAGGAUCCGCGGUGUCGAUUGGUUUCGUCCCCGGAUCCUCCUCAGCCUUGCAAGGCUGAGAACCAAACAUGUCCCUAUUUCUACUGGUAUGGGGACAGUUCCAAUACAACUGGGGAUUUUUCCCUUGAAACCUUUACUGUUAAUCUCACAUCAGAUACUGGGAAGACAGACUUUAAAAGAGUGGAGAAUGUGAUGUUUGGAUGUGGCCAUUGGAAUAGAGGCCUGUUUCAUGGGGCUGCAGGAUUGUUAGGACUUGGGAGAGGGCCUCUCUCCUUUGCCUCUCAGCUUCAAUCACUUUAUGGCCAUUCAUUCUCAUACUGUCUGGUAGAUAGAAAUAGUGACACCAAUGUUAGCAGCAAGUUGAUUUUUGGGGAGGACAAGGGGCUCUUGAGCCACCCAAAGUUGAGCUACACCUCAUUGGUUGGAGGCAAAGAAAACCCUGCUGAUACAUUUUACUAUGUCCAGAUAAAAUCCAUCAUGGUUGGAGGGGAAGUGGUUGACAUACCAGAGGAGACUUGGAAUUUGACACCAGAAGGUGCUGGAGGCACAAUCAUUGAUUCUGGCACCACACUGAGUUAUUUUGCAGAUCCUGCAUACCAGAUUAUCAAGGAGGCAUUUUCGAAGAAGGUUAAAGGCUAUCCAGUUGUAAAAGACUUCCCAUUUUUAGAUCCUUGUUACAAUGUGUCUGGUGUUGAGAAGAUAGUGCUUCCAGAAUUUGCAAUUCUGUUUGCUGAUGGAGCAGUUUGGGAUUUCCCAGUUGAGAAUUACUUCAUCCAGAUCGAUCCGCAAGAGGUUGUUUGCUUGGCAGUGCUAGGAACUCCAAAAUCUGGUCUUUCAAUCAUUGGUAACUAUCAGCAGCAGAAUUUUCACAUCCUCUAUGACACAAAGAAGUCUAGGCUAGGAUAUGUACCAAUGAAAUGUGCUGAUGUUUAACAAUAUUUUGUUGGAAGAUCAGGAGGAGGUGAAAAACUGGAGCCUAGAAUGAUGGGUUUUGCUUUGUGUAAACAGUUUCAUCAGUACCAGGUGGUGGGAAGAGCCCUCCCAUCUGAAAAAGAUGAGCAUCCCAAGAUCUACCGUAUGAAGCUCUGGGCCACCAAUGAGGUCCGUGCCAAAUCCAAGUUCUGGUACUUUUUGAGGAAGUUGAAGAAAGUGAAGAAAAGCAAUGGACAAGUUUUGGCCAUUAAUGAGAUAUUUGAGAAAAGUCCAACAACGAUCAAGAACUACGGAAUUUGGCUGCGAUAUCAGAGCCGAACUGGUUAUCACAACAUGUACAAGGAAUACCGGGACACUACUCUCAAUGGUGCUGUUGAAGACAUGUACACUGAGAUGGCAUCUCGUCACAGGGUGAGGUCUCCAUGCAUCCAAAUCAUUAAGACAGCCACUAUCCCAGCAAAACUUUGCAAGAGGGAGAGUACCAAGCAGUUCCAUAACUCCAAGAUCAAAUUCCCAUUGGUGUUCAAGAAGGUUAGGCCCCCAACCAGGAAGCUCAAGACGACAUACAAGGCAACUAGGCCCAACAUCUUUGUGUAAUUUUGUCGCCUCGCGGUUUCCUUUCAUCUGAAAGCUUUGCACUUUAAUUAGCUAAAUUAGUUGAACCUAGGAAUGGUGAUGAAAGUUUUACUGAAUUUUGGUUUCUUUCGAGUAUGAACAUCCUUUUUCUGUUAUCCAGAGUGUUUCAGUUUUGAAGAUUGUGGCUUUACAAGUCUAUAAUGAGCUUGGUACUUUGUUUUAUGCUUUUCCUAAACCUUUUGAUUAUGAAGAUUGUGUCCUCCAUUCCA
RNA transcript from Prunus dulcis (almond), 2636 nucleotides. It is a transcript of the gene named protein ASPARTIC PROTEASE IN GUARD CELL 1-like, with no coding region annotated. The transcript is spliced from 5 exons. The record is from RefSeq and is a predicted model, not a curated record. Lineage: Eukaryota; Viridiplantae; Streptophyta; Magnoliopsida; Rosales; Rosaceae.